UGGUGGACCGCCCAGAACUCGAAUCUGGAAUCUCCCGGUUCGUAGCCGAGCGCCUUAUCCAAUUUGGCCAGCGGUCC
Molecule: transfer RNA, 77 nt
Filed under: Candidatus Pelagibacter ubique HTCC1062
Lineage: Bacteria; Pseudomonadati; Pseudomonadota; Alphaproteobacteria; Candidatus Pelagibacterales; Candidatus Pelagibacteraceae
Description: tRNA-Arg
Source: RNAcentral